RNAcentral lists this ribosomal RNA (172 nucleotides) under Laccaria bicolor. Its description in RNAcentral is "5.8S ribosomal RNA". The stretch from base 6 to 159 matches the Rfam family "5.8S ribosomal RNA". From Rfam's summary of the family: 5.8S ribosomal RNA (5.8S rRNA) is a component of the large subunit of the eukaryotic ribosome. It is transcribed by RNA polymerase I as part of the 45S precursor that also contains 18S and 28S rRNA. Functionally, it is thought that 5.8S rRNA may be involved in ribosome translocation. The record is from RNAcentral. Lineage: Eukaryota; Fungi; Basidiomycota; Agaricomycetes; Agaricales; Hydnangiaceae.
UAUACAACUUUCAGCAACGGAUCUCUUGGCUCUCGCAUCGAUGAAGAACGCAGCGAAAUGCGAUAAGUAAUGUGAAUUGCAGAAUUCAGUGAAUCAUCGAAUCUUUGAACGCACCUUGCGCUCCUUGGUAUUCCGAGGAGCAUGCCUGUUUGAGUGUCAUUAAUUUCUCAAC